UGGGGAAUAUUGCACAAUGGAGGAAACUCUGAUGCAGCAACGCCGCGUGGAGGAUGACGCAUUUCGGUGUGUAAACUCCUUUUAUAUAGGAAGAUAAUGACGGUACUAUAUGAAUAAGCACCGGCUAACUCCGUGCCAGCAGCCGCGGCAAUACGGAGGGUGCAAGCGUUACUCGGAAUCACUGGGCGUAAAGCGCGCGCAGGCGGCUUUGUAAGUUGGAUGUGAAAUCCUAUGGCUCAACCAUAGAACUGCAUCCAAAACUACUUAGCUAGAGUCUGGGAGGGGAAGAUGGAAUUAGUGGUGUAGGGGUAAAAUCCGUAGAGAUCACUAGGAAUACCAAAAGCGAAAGCGAUCUUCUGGAACAGUACUGACGCUGAGGCGCGAAAGCGUGGGGAGCAAACAG
RNAcentral lists this ribosomal RNA (403 nucleotides) under uncultured bacterium. RNAcentral's name for it is "bacterial SSU rRNA". It matches the Rfam family "Bacterial small subunit ribosomal RNA", at positions 355 to 775 of the family's 1533-position model. The record is from RNAcentral.